CCUGACCCACCAAGGUGCGUGGGCAGGCAGGCAGCUCCCCCCUAUAGUAGGCUAAUAUGCAAAAACCCGCUCUCCAGCACCGGACAUCCUUUUUUCUGGGGAGACAUACUCGGUUUUUUUGAGGCUACGGGUCGAAGUUUGACCUGAUUUUUAGCACAAGUGCUUAUAAAAAGUGGGAGCAAGUGGUCCACAAAGUUUCACGAUUUUUCUCCGAGCCGAUACUUUUUCAUGAUUUUCCUAGCCGACGAGCUUUAUGUCAUUCCCGAAAAUUAGAAAAUGGGUGUGGACCAUGUUUCUUGAGCUGUUCUAUUGCAGGAGUUCCAGGAAUAUUAUUCAUAAACAUUUCCCAGAGUUACGUCCAUGUAAGGUCGAGGCAUUUACCUCAAAUGAUUUUCAACCGACGUGCGGCACAAUCCAUGAUGCCCUGACGGACACACGUGCCAUGGCUUGGGUGAGUGUGCCAUAGGCUAGGCCACGCACCACAUGAAUAAGGGACUAUGUGUGUAUCGUGGACUUUGCACCAAUUCGACUAAUCGCACACACAAGUUGCGGAUCCACAACCCUCGAAGAGCAAAGUGGAAAACCAAAAAUUCAAGAUAUCAAUCUUGAUGAGGCAAGUGAUUCCAGAUGCAACACAUGAAUAAGGGACUGCGUGAAUUCCUAAACUCUGAAGGGUGAGCCAGAUCAGACCCCCCAACACACUUCUAAGAGUCACAAGCCAACAAGCAACACAGUGUCACAUGCCCUUAUCUUUAACCAAACCUGCACUGAGAGGCCACAAUCAAGACCCUCGCUUCCGCCAUGGGAACCACCCACAACACACUACCAGAUUAUGGGACUUACGCCCCUUCGUGCUCUGCAUAUAUGCCCAUGAAGGGUUCACCGAGCACCACAACCUUCCGUGCAGAACGUGCC
Lupinus albus (white lupine) is the source of this 915-nucleotide non-coding RNA. The record is from the annotation of a GenBank genome assembly. NCBI's taxonomy places the organism in Eukaryota, Viridiplantae, Streptophyta, Magnoliopsida, Fabales, Fabaceae.